GGGGUGCCACUGUGAGGUCCAAUGAAGAAGAAUGCAAGAACUUACUUUUCUGCAAAAUUCUAGAUGUUGAAACUCUAAGAUUUAUUGUAUGUGAUACAAAACAUAAAUUGUAUGAAAAGUAAAAUAUUUAAUCUAUAUGAUUAAAAUUAUUUUAAUCAUAAAAAUAAAAUUUAAAAUUAUAAAAUAUUUAGAUAUGAUCUAAAGUUUGUUAUGAUUGAUUUUAUUUUAAUUUAUGCGAGAAUUUUCAGAUCUGAAACUAUGUGAU
Molecule: long non-coding RNA, 265 nt
Filed under: Elaeis guineensis (African oil palm)
Lineage: Eukaryota; Viridiplantae; Streptophyta; Magnoliopsida; Arecales; Arecaceae
Description: long non-coding RNA (EGUI_LNC035373)
Source: RNAcentral